This 1046-nucleotide long non-coding RNA is filed under the name Sinocyclocheilus grahami. RNAcentral's name for it is "lncRNA (ENSSGRG00000041510.1)". Lineage: Eukaryota; Metazoa; Chordata; Actinopteri; Cypriniformes; Cyprinidae. The record is from RNAcentral.
CCAAGGAUGAAUAGGCUAUAAAAAUCUUCUUUUUUUCUUCAUAUAUGCCUUGCUUGCACAGUUUCCCUACAAGAUAAAGUUCAAAAAUGGGCAUUAAAAACAACGGCAACUGACAGAACAGCUCGCGAGGGAUGAUUUAAUUCAAGGACUUUUUGCAUUUGCGUAAACAAAAAUCAAAUAUUCACUUUUACUCACCGGAGUUCUCCAAGAACACAAAAGCACGGUACGCGAAAUCACAGCAUGCGCUACGAGGACAACGCGUCUCUUUCUUUUCGAAGUAAAGUCAUCUUUUUUGCGUGAAACAUUUAUUAUUAUUAUUUUUUAAGCGAUUGGAAACUUGCUGUGGAGGACGCGUUGAGAUAACGAAUUUAUUGAAUAUGAAGAAUCAAACAGGAUACUGUGAAACAACAGGCAGUGAGCGGUUCAUGAUGAGCAACGUCAAAAUGGGCCCCGUGUUCAAGGGUCACGCAGCGGCAGCGCAGAAGGAGCGUCUCCCGCCCGAAGGCGCUGGCUCUUCAGCAUAUGAUUCUCAUGCAGCACCUUGGACAGGGUUCGCAAGCUCCUUCCCGACACCCCUCACUAACUCUCUCCUACGGUCAAAAUGGUCCAAAGAAUCGUUAAACGGUUACCCCCCUGAAUACAACUCCAUCAAGUCCACCGGGAUGAAAAGAGAAACGUUAUUCGACACCGGACAUUUGUGCAAAAAGUGCAUCUCUCAUUUCAACGUCUUCAAAAGGGAAGCGUUAAAACAAGUAACUGACGAAAAUCUUUCUACUAAAGAUCCCAAAGUCUUCAUUCAUCUUUAUGAGAGCAUGAAACCACCUGCUAUUACUGUAGAAGCCUGGGGCAAUGCGGAUGGACGCUGUGGCGUCUGCUCCGCUCACUUUAGCCAGCUGAAGCAGGAGGCUAUCCGCACGAUCCUCACCCAGGACCGGGCCAUAUGGGCUCCACCUACCACUGCCAACAUCCCAUCCACAAGCCUAGACCCAGGCUCACAAACGCUCCCCAGAACCUCAAGCCACCGAUCUGUUGUCUCAGACCCCCAU